GGAGGCGGCGACGCCCCCCCCGACUUGAGACCGGCGAACAUGCCGGUCUGCCGCCUCCGCACCCCUUUUCUCGAUGAUGCGCACUCAAGAGGCGGGCCUAGAGCCCGCCU
Molecule: small RNA, 110 nt
Filed under: Phenylobacterium haematophilum
Lineage: Bacteria; Pseudomonadati; Pseudomonadota; Alphaproteobacteria; Caulobacterales; Caulobacteraceae
Description: sRNA CC3552
Rfam family: Cauldobacter sRNA CC3552
Source: RNAcentral